RNAcentral lists this unclassified non-coding RNA (337 nucleotides) under soil metagenome. RNAcentral's name for it is "partial contains 5.8S ribosomal RNA, internal transcribed spacer 2, and large subunit ribosomal RNA". The stretch from base 1 to 120 matches the Rfam family "5.8S ribosomal RNA", at positions 35 to 154 of the family's 154-position model. The record is from RNAcentral.
GAUGAAGAACGUAGCGAAGUGCGAUAAGUAGUGUGAAUUGCAGAAUUCAGUGAAUCAUCGAAUCUUUGAACGCACAUUGCGCCCCAUGGUAUUCCGUGGGGCAUGCCUGUUCGAGCGUCAUUUACCCCCUCAAGCUCCGCUUGGUGUUGGGCGUCUGUCCCGCUUCGCGCGCGGACUCGCCCCAAAGGUAUUGGCAGCGGUCGUGCCAGCUUCUCGCGCAGCACAUUGCGCUUCUCGAGGCACCGGUGGGCCCGCGUCCAUCAAGCUCACCCCCCCAGUUUGACCUCGGAUCAGGUAGGGAUACCCGCUGAACUUAAGCAUAUCAAUAAGCGGAGGA